UUUUACAUGGCCCACCACUUUUCCAUAAAACUUAAAGUAAAAUAAAGAAAGACCCGUUGUUUAACUCAACGGGUCUCUACUUUCCUUCUUUGUCCUGAAGGAAAACCCUAGUGAAACCAAUUUCACCAUAUUGUUCUUCCCUGCGAUGUUGCCUCUUCUACUUCCCUCAACAUACUCACAUACAAGAUUAAGGGCAACAAUUGGAUAACUCAUCACCACCGGCGAAAUACACUACAAUUUGCGACAUCACUACCACCGGCGACCUCACCACCACCGCUGGCGACUACAAAUUUAAGAUAGUGAAUGAAAUGCGUGGUAUUCAGGUUCGAGUUGAAACUGGUUUGAAUUACAUGCAUACAAUGUUCUAUUAAAAAUGUACUUCUAUAUAUAGCUAACUGUAUUGUGUGCUAUUGUUCUGGGUUUUUUGAACAGACGAUUGUUGUUAUUCAAGCUGGUCAUGGACUUUUUCAAUUAGGCUCCUGCAAGAUUGUGAAUCAUCUCAUCUCAUUUUUUUAUCUCUAUCUAAAAUUAAAUUUGUUCCCACCCGUAGAUCUUAGUGGUUCAAUCACUUAAUUAUAUUUAGGAUACACUGCACCUUGAAUAUUACAGUAUUACUAUAUAUAGUACGUUUGAAAAUUGAUUAUGGGGCACAUUGUUAAAGCUACCUUAAAUAUAUUUUGAACUUGAUUAAAUUAGCACAGUUAAUAUAAAGCACCUUUAUUCUGAUAAGACUGCUUAAAAAAAUUUGUUAUCGUCUUUUAAGUGAAAGCAGCUAGUUAUGCACUAAAA
Spinacia oleracea (spinach) is the source of this 789-nucleotide long non-coding RNA. RefSeq lists it as uncharacterized. The transcript has 2 exons. Lineage: Eukaryota; Viridiplantae; Streptophyta; Magnoliopsida; Caryophyllales; Amaranthaceae. The record is from RefSeq and is a predicted model, not a curated record.